RNAcentral lists this ribosomal RNA (429 nucleotides) under Bacteroidota bacterium. Its description in RNAcentral is "Bacteroidetes bacterium partial 16S ribosomal RNA". It matches the Rfam family "Bacterial small subunit ribosomal RNA", at positions 355 to 776 of the family's 1533-position model. The record is from RNAcentral. Lineage: Bacteria; Pseudomonadati; Bacteroidota.
UAGGGAAUCUUCGGCAAUGGGGGGAACCCUGACCGAGCAACGCCGCGUGAGUGAAGAAGGUUUUCGGAUCGUAAAGCUCUGUUGUUAAGGAAGAACGAGUGUGAGAAUGGAAAGUUCAUGCUGUGACGGUACUUAACCAGAAAGGGACGGCUAACUACGUGCCAGCAGCCGCGGUAAUACGUAGGUCCCGAGCGUUGUCCGGAUUUAUUGGGCGUAAAGCGAGCGCAGGCGGUUAGAAAAGUCUGAAGUGAAAGGCAGUGGCUCAACCAUUGUAGGCUUUGGAAACUGUUUAACUUGAAUGCAGAAGGGGAGGGUGGAAUUCCAUGUGUAGCGGUGAAAUGCGUAGAUAUAUGGAGAAACACCAGUGGCGAAGGCGACUCUCUGGUCUGUAACUGACGCUGAGGCUCGAAAGCGUGGGUAGCAAACAGG